GAUGAAGAACGUAGCGAAAUGCGAUAAGUAAUGUGAAUUGCAGAAUUCAGUGAAUCAUCGAAUCUUUGAACGCACAUUGCGCCCGCCAGUAUUCUGGCGGGCAUGCCUGUUCGAGCGUCAUUUCAACCCUCAGGCCCCCAGUGCCUGGUGUUGGGGAUCGGCAGCAGGGCGUCAAGCCCGCCGGCCCCGAAAUCUAGUGGCGGUCUCGCUGUAGUCCUCCUCUGCGUAGUAGCACAACCUCGCAGUUGGAACGCGGCGGUGGCCAUGCCGUUAAACACACCACUUCUGAAAGUUGACCUCGGAUCAGGUAGGAAUACCCGCUGAACUUAAGCAUAUCAAUAAGCGGAGGA
Molecule: unclassified non-coding RNA, 350 nt
Filed under: soil metagenome
Description: partial contains 5.8S ribosomal RNA, internal transcribed spacer 2, and large subunit ribosomal RNA
Rfam family: 5.8S ribosomal RNA (bases 1-120)
Source: RNAcentral